UACAGAGGUCUCAACCGUUGUUCGGCUUCAUUGGGCGUAAAGGGUGCGUAGGCGGUCGGGUAAGUCGGAUGUGAAAUCUCAGGGCUCAACCCUGAAACUGCAUUCGAUACUGCCUGGCUAGGGUACUGGAGAGGAGACUGGAAUUUACGGUGUAGCAGUGAAAUGCGUAGAUAUCGUAAGGAAGACCAGUGGCGAAGGCGAGUCUCUGGACAGUUACCGACGCUGAGGCACGAAGGUCAGGGGAGCAAACGGG
Molecule: ribosomal RNA, 253 nt
Filed under: uncultured bacterium
Lineage: Bacteria
Description: partial 16S ribosomal RNA
Rfam family: Bacterial small subunit ribosomal RNA
Source: RNAcentral